Molecule: small nuclear RNA, 100 nt
Organism: Ictidomys tridecemlineatus (thirteen-lined ground squirrel)
Lineage: Eukaryota; Metazoa; Chordata; Mammalia; Rodentia; Sciuridae
Source: Ensembl
GCAUUUUUGCACUGCAUAUACUAAAUCUGGAAUGAUACAGACAUUAAGAUAAUUCCUGAGUAAGGAUGAUUUGCAAAAUAAUGAACUGUUCCAUGUUUUU